UACGUAGGGUGCAGGCGUUAAUCGGAAUUACUGGGCGUAAAGCGUGCGCAGGCGGUCUUUUAAGCCAGAUGUGAAAUCCCCGGGCUUAACCUGGGAACUGCGUUUGAAAACUGGAAGGCUUGAGUGUGGCAGAGGGGGGUGGAAUUCCACGUGUAGCAGUGAAAUGCGUAGAGAUGUGGAGGAACACCGAUGGCGAAGGCAGCCCCCCUGGGCUAACACUGACGCUCAUGCACGAAAGCGUGGGGAGCAAACAGG
RNAcentral lists this ribosomal RNA (255 nucleotides) under uncultured bacterium. RNAcentral's name for it is "partial 16S ribosomal RNA". It matches the Rfam family "Bacterial small subunit ribosomal RNA", at positions 524 to 776 of the family's 1533-position model. The record is from RNAcentral.